Molecule: ribosomal RNA, 360 nt
Filed under: uncultured bacterium
Lineage: Bacteria
Description: bacterial SSU rRNA
Rfam family: Bacterial small subunit ribosomal RNA
Source: RNAcentral
AAAGAAGAACACGUAUGAGAGUAACUGUUCAUACGUUGACGGUAUUUAACCAGAAAGUCACGGCUAACUACGUGCCAGCAGCCGCGGUAAUACGUAGGUGGCAAGCGUUAUCCGGAUUUAUUGGGCGUAAAGAGAGUGCAGGCGGUUUUCUAAGUCUGAUGUGAAAGCCUUCGGCUUAACCGGAGAAGUGUAUCGGAAACUGGAUAACUUGAGUGCAGAAGAGGGUAGUGGAACUCCAUGUGUAGCGGUGGAAUGCGUAGAUAUAUGGAAGAACACCAGUGGCGAAGGCGGCUACCUGGUCUGCAACUGACGCUGAGACUCGAAAGCAUGGGUAGCGAACAGGAUUAGAUACCUUGGUAG